This 426-nucleotide ribosomal RNA is filed under the name uncultured bacterium. RNAcentral's name for it is "partial 16S ribosomal RNA". It matches the Rfam family "Bacterial small subunit ribosomal RNA", at positions 355 to 774 of the family's 1533-position model. The record is from RNAcentral.
UGGGGAAUAUUGCACAAUGGGCGCAAGCCUGAUGCAGCCAUGCCGCGUGUAUGAAGAAGGCCUUCGGGUUGUAAAGUACUUUCAGCGGGGAGGAAGGCGAUAAGGUUAAUAACCUUGUCGAUUGACGUUACCGCAGAAGAAGCACCGGCUAACUCCGUGCCAGCAGCCGCGGGAAUACGGAGGGUGCAAGCGUUAAUCGGAAUUACUGGGCGUAAAGCGCACGCAGGCGGUCUGUCAAGUCGGAUGUGAAAUCCCCGGGCUCAACCUGGGAACUGCAUUCGAAACUGGCAGGCUAGAGUCUUGUAGAGGGGGGUAGAAUUCCAGGUGUAGCGGUGAAAUGCGUAGAGAUCUGGAGGAAUACCGGUGGCGAAGGCGGCCCCCUGGACAAAGACUGACGCUCAGGUGCGAAAGCGUGGGGAGCAAACA